Molecule: long non-coding RNA, 1491 nt
Organism: Pecten maximus
Lineage: Eukaryota; Metazoa; Mollusca; Bivalvia; Pectinida; Pectinidae
Exons: 2
Source: RefSeq, a predicted model, not a curated record
GAACUUUCCAAGAAUCGGUGUGAAAUCAUAAUCUGUAGUAAAAUUGAAGAAUUGUAUAAAUUUAAAGAGGUAUGGCAGAAAACAGCCAUCAAUAUAUAUAUGAAAAAACAAAUCGUAUUUCGGAAAUAUUCAUUUGUCCCGUAUUUGUACAAAAUACGUGUUUUGUGUAGUAAAAUUCGUAGUAAAAUGUCUCACGUGAUCAAACUUCAUUCAUGAGACUGGCUGAAUUGGAAAAUGUAUUAUGGAUGAUGUUGUCACGUGAUUUUAUGCUAUCUUCCAUACACAGUAAUCUCGCUGACCUGAACCUAUUCUUAGACACGUAGGACGCACACACUAGCGGAGCGAUACGCAUAGCAACUCGCCAUGUACCGCUUAAUUUCUUUCCCUUACUUGUAGCACCAAGGAAUGGUACGUUUUCCUGUUGAGGUAAGAGGCCUUGUGUUCACUCUGAGCUGCAAUUGAUAUGUGGGUGCCAUAAAUGGCCCUAACAACUCCUCGGAAUCCUUUUACUUUAUGGCAUUGUUCCUGAAUUAACUAUAGUCUACGAUAACAAUAUACUAUUUACAUAAAAUAUAUGCGAAGGGUGCUAUUUAGAAAGAAAUUAAUUCAGAUAAGUAGAAAACAUUACGUAUAAGCAACAAAGUAUUAUACAUAUGAAAGAGUCGCAUAUUUCUUUUCAUUUGACAUGAAUAUUAAAAAUGUAAACAAUUCAAAAGCAAUUUUCAAAUGCCUAUUUUGAUCCGUUUCCUUUAGUGUCAAACUUCGAUGGUCGUACAUGUACGUUCUAUGAACACUGAUAGCUGUACAUCGAACAGAGCAGUCUACAUCGUCGAUAUUUCCCACAGAUGAUCCUGAUUAACUUCAACUAGCCGAAGACAAUAUCAGUGGAGGAGGACAAAAGAGGCUAUCUAUAUUGAUUUUGGACAAAAAUGUUGGAGAGAGCAGUUUUGAAUGAACAUUUUGUAGUGCUGGAGACAACAGCUGUUGGGAGCUUGUUCCACUCAACGAUGGUUCGGGGAAAGAAGAGUUGUUUUCUUGCAGAUUUUUAAGCUGAAUAUGUCAAAGUGUAUAUGAUACUGUAAAGUCCAAAUGGAAAGGUCCUUAAACAAAAUAUAUUACAGCACCAAAAUAAUCAAUACAUAAAGGAAUAAUGUACGGUUAUUACCAAAUGGCCAGGCGAUGAAUUCUUUCAUCAAAACCAUGACAGCGUCGAUAACACAUGCUUUUGCCCUAGAGACGCUACUAACUGUGAUUUUGAACCGAUCGGCUAUUUCCCGAUGCGAAUCCUUAUUUGCCAUGUACCACGCAAUUACCAAAUCUGUUUCUCUAGUUUAAUGGGUUCACGACCUUGCUCGUGAUUCAAAGGAACUUUGUGGCAUAAAUCAAAUUUAUUAAUACUGUAAUGAACAAGUAUAGUAGAGUUAACCAUGUUCGUGUUUAUAUGUGUAUGUUAUGUAUGAUCUGUAAAUAAACCACGUGUAAUCAUUGUCA